RNAcentral lists this unclassified non-coding RNA (176 nucleotides) under uncultured Coniochaetales. Its description in RNAcentral is "sequence contains ITS1". Lineage: Eukaryota; Fungi; Ascomycota; Sordariomycetes; Coniochaetales. The record is from RNAcentral.
CAGGGAGCCGAAAGGCUGCUUAACACCAUUGCGAACCAAUCCUUAGGCGUUGCUUCGGCGGGCGGCCCCAGCCCGGGGUCCCAGCACCUCCCCCUCUCGGGGGAGGGGCGCCCGCCGGAGGUACCAAACUCUCAAGUAUCUUAGUGGCAUCUCUGAGUAGACAAGCAAAUAAGUUA